UAGUUGCCAUAACUCCGAGCUCUGAUUGCUAAGUCUGAGAAGAUACGAAAUUAGAGCCAGUGGCAUAUACCACAAGGGUUUACUUGGAAAUGAGUAAGCCUCCCGUGUUUGGAAAGGUGUUCCGUGGCGCAACAA
This 135-nucleotide non-coding RNA is filed under the name Vibrio tapetis subsp. tapetis. RNAcentral's name for it is "Molybdenum/Tungsten riboswitch aptamer (Moco RNA motif)". It matches the Rfam family "Molybdenum/Tungsten riboswitch aptamer (Moco RNA motif)". Lineage: Bacteria; Pseudomonadati; Pseudomonadota; Gammaproteobacteria; Vibrionales; Vibrionaceae. The record is from Rfam by way of RNAcentral.